GCUCCGGUGGCCUAGUGGUUAGAGCUUCCGCCUCGUAUGCGAAAGGUCGUGGGUUCGAUCCCCUGUCGAGUCA
Potamilus streckersoni is the source of this 73-nucleotide non-coding RNA. NCBI's taxonomy places the organism in Eukaryota, Metazoa, Mollusca, Bivalvia, Unionida, Unionidae. The record is from the annotation of a GenBank genome assembly.